UUUUUCACUUUUAAAAUAGUGAACGUAGCCUGUAGAUGUUUUUUAAGUUGAAUUUUGCUGAACCGUGCUUGGAGGAAGAAUGGUAUGCAAUUAAAAUAAACAAUAUACUUUUAAAACUGGUGAAACACAGAAAUGAAGCUUGGCAAAGCACGUUUUGCAUUUCUAAGUGAUUGAGUAAAAGGCAAUGAACGUGACAGAUUCUGGUCACAACAGGACGAUGACGCCUUUCAUCAGGUGCCCAGGGCCACGGAGAGGAUUUCCAGAAGUCGCUUGCGAGAGACCAAGCUUUAGUACCUGCUUCUGAAAUGGUUUGUGUGGCUUUUUUUUACUCUGAAAUUAUAGAAUUUGUAGUUCUCACCCUUCCAUGGCAGGCUCAGAUUUGCUGGAUGAGCAAGGACGGGAAGACUCCGUGGUUUCCCGGUUCCUCCGGAGCUGGGCUGGGGGAAGACCGCCUUGCCCUGCACUCGGUGGCUGGGCUGGAGACCGGUGGCAUUGGGAGAUGAGCUUUCUGCGCGACAGAAUGUGCAGGUAUUUACAGCAAAGCGUAUUAAUUCGUCCUUUGUUCCAGUCUGAAGACUGGCAUGGCGCUUUAGUGUGGGACGCAAUGCGCUUAAGUAACCGGUAAUGCAUUAAAAAUGUGUUAACAUUUAAUUAAUUAAUUAAAUGUGGUAACACAUUAAAAACCCCACAUCCCCGAAACCGUGACGACCGAGGAGCAAAGGCAGCGUAUCUCUCUUUGUUUAGGUAAUAGAUGACACUUAAGUUUUUGCCUUGGUCCGUGCUGUCGCCUUCGACUUUAAAACCGGUUAUUUUUUAAAAACGACGCGUGAAUGUUUGACGGAGAUCACCCGAAGUUGGCCCGUUUUUAAAAUCUGGUUGUCGGUGACCCGAGAGAAGCCAGCGAUGGCGGGGGGUUGGUUGCUGUCGUGCUGUAGGUGAGAUCUCCUCCUUUCUCCCUCGCCCCCGGCGGCAGGUCGGACGUUUGCUGGUGCGCGGGGAGAUCCGGUGUCGUGUGGCGCUUCGUGUGUGCAGGGAAGGGCCCUUCAGACCUCCUCUCCGGGGCUUCCCAGCGACUGCAGGAGCCAGUCGUAUCUCCACAUCUCUCACCCCUGAGGACCCCUCUCGUGUGAGCUAGAUAUAAGCCGUUUCAGAGAUGUGUCUGAAAAUCAACAGUCCUGGAAAAGAGUGAACAAGUUCCCUCUGGCUCCAGAUGAGCGUCUCCAGGAGCCUGUGAGGGGCUCUGGGGAGGACCGGCAACACCAGCCCCACCCCAGUGCCAGAGUUUUCUUCUGGGGGAGAAGAACAAUUGCAUUUCGUUUGAAAUGCUCUGAGGAAAUGGGUAACUCUCAUUAGAAUUAAAAUCAGAUUUUUUUAGAGGUGGUGGAAAGUCUCGUGUAGUUUUAACCUUAUCUAAACCAAAACAUUGAGUUUGGUUAGGUGUCUCCAAAGCCACGCUUCUGAGAGCGCAUUCAACAAAAUGCUUAAAGAUUUUAUUUCUGUCCCAAAGGUGAAAGAAAACAACUUCAAAAUGUCAGAAAUGCUGUUACCUGACGAGAUCUAUUUUUUGUAAGGUCAAGAAAAAAUGAUGGAUGCGGUAACAAGUGUUAGUGCUGUUACCUUUUAAAAUAUAUAGGUGAUGCUCAAGUUCAUAAACGUCGCGCGUGCCUUUCAGAGGCUAAAAUAUAGCAGCAGGAGGCAGGAGUCCUUGGUCUGUUCCUCCUUGUUUCUUCUGAAAUCAAUUUUUGUUUUAAGUUCUUCUGGUGUAAAUAAUUUUAAUGAAAAGGAGACAAUUGCUAGGUGGAGUUUAUCGCCUGGAAUGUAUAGGCUUAGAUGGUUCCUUGAAAUACAGAAGACGGGUGAGCAGGGCUCUUGAGUGCCCUGGAGAAAUAGUGCCCAACCCUUUAAAAAGAAAAUUUUGAAAAAAAAAAAAAAAUAAAAAAAAAAUUGGUUGUCAUCCUGCAAGUAGGCUGCCCUGGCACGGCUGGGAGCGAGCGGGGGGGGUUCUGGUUGUUUCUCAAAACGGUCCCCCCAGGAGGUGGAAGCCUGUGUGUGUGUGGAGGGGACGGGCAAUAAGGGGACCUGGGCAAGGCGAUGGGCCAUCCCCUGGGCAUGUCCGAGUAUUACAGUCCUGCUCCAUGGAGUGUUUGUGGCUGGCUGUAAGCUGAUCCGAUUCCUUACGCGGAUCAGGUUGACUGUUCGAAGGAAUUUCUUCUAUAAAGCGUCUUUCUAGUGGGUACGCGUGCAACAGUGCUUUUGGUGAUCUCAGGGUGAUACGUCCAACUCCUGCCCUACACAGCAGGGACCGAGUUCGUUGUCAGACAUGGUGUCGCCGCGGAAAGCGAGGAUCUGAGCUGGUACGGUAUUCACAGAAUCAUAGAAUCAUAGGGUUGGAAGGACCCUCUGGAGAUCACCCUGUCCACCCCCUGCCAGAGCAGGGUCACCCACAGCAGGUGGCACAGGAACGCGUCCAGGCGGGUUUGGGAUGUCUCCAGAGACGGAGACUCCCCCACCUCUCUGGGCAGCCUGUGCCAGGGUCCGCCACCCUCAGGGGAAAGAAGUUCCUCCUCGUGUUGAGAUGGAACUUCCCAUGUCCCAGUUUGUGCCCGUUACCUCUUGUCCCAUCACUGGGCACCACUGAGAAGAGUCUGGCCCCAUCCUCCUGACACCCCCCCUUUCAGUAUUUAUAAGUGUUGAUAAGUAUUGCUGUUGCCUGCCCUUGUGGGCAGGGGGGACAAUCCUGUCCCAGCCCCAGGACUGGCUGAAAUUAGAGACUGCUUUUCUUCUCUGAACUCAUAACUUAACAGCACCCGAUGGUGUCAUCUGCUGGCCAGGCCGGAGCUGCUGUGAGCUGGGGCAGAGGUGUGAACAUCCAGCUUUGCUCCGGCUCCUCCCUUGGUGACAAGGGGAACCUGAGCCUGUGUCCUGUGAGGACCAGGCUGCUCCUGCCCUGUCUUAACCUUCUCUCUUGUGCUCACGCUUGCUCUGUCUCCUGUUUUCUCCCUUCUCUGCAGCUCUGGUACACAUAUGGAGCCCCUCUGCUGGGAGGACAGGCUGGAGAGCUGGGGGGGCUCAUCCUGGAGAAGAGAAGGCUCCGGGGAGACCUUCCACUCCCUAAAGGGGGCCUACAGGAGAGAUGGGGAGGGACUAUUUAUGAGGGAGUGUAAUGGUAGGACGAAGGGGAAGGGUUUUGCACUGGCCGAGGGGAGACUGAGAUGAGAUCUCAGGCAGAAAUUCCUGGCUGUGAGGGGGGUGAGCCCCUGGCCCAGGGUGCCCAGAGAAGCUGUGGCUGCCCCAUCCCUGGAGGGGUUCAAGGCCAGGUUGGACGGGGCUUGGAGCAACCUGGGCUGGUGGGAGGUGUCCCUGCCCAGGGCAGGGGGUGGCGCUGGGGGGGCUUUAAGGUCCCUUCCAAUGUAAACCGUUCUGUGAUACAUAGGUUUGAAGGAAAACCAUAGAGAAGAGGAAACACUUGAGUUAGGUAGGGACCACCUGGGUCCCAGCUUAUCUCCUUCCAGGAGACUGUUGCGUGCAGGAAUGCGUGUGUCUGCAGAGCUUUGUGCUGUCAAAAAGAUCUUUGUGCUUUUCGUCUUUACCGCUGGGGUAUCCUCUGCGGUAGUGGUUGAAAAUGGAGCUUGCGCGUCUCCUGCCCCGCUGCCCCUCAGCUUCAUUGUGGUCCCGUGGAGGAUCCUCACGCUCCUGCUCCUCCACUUGCGGGGGCUGGCACAGGUGCAGCUCCCAGCCCCGGUCAUUGCCCCAGUCAUUUGAGUUGCCUGCUCUGCUCCUCUCCCUGUCGCCUCCGCGGGGUUUUGGCACAACGCUGCCCAGGGCUGCGGCGACCAGCCUGUUCUCGGCCAUGUUUCCACUCGUGCCUCUGCCAUCGGCGGUGACCGUCCCCGGGGCCGCGCGGCAGCAAACGGGAACCUCUCCGCUGGCUCGGGCGGGCGUUGGAGGGGGUCCGUAAUGCUUUGCAGACCAAUUUUCUCUCCGUUAUUGUUUUAAACUCCCCGUUAGCCGUUCCUGCUUCCCAGGUUUCCGCGUGUUUCAAAUUAUUUUCCCCAGAGGCAUCGACAGCAUUUUUUCAAAUUGAAUCUCAUUUAUUUUCUACCCAGGUUUCCAAUCUCUCUGGGGCCCUUUGUAUUAUUUCUCCGUCCGCACUGCCGUGUACAAUAUAUCCUAAUUUAGUAUCGUCUGUGAAUUAUAUUACCAUGCCCUUUAGUUCCUCUUCUAUUUAAUGAAGAUAUUUUCAAGGAAAAAAAAAUAAAUCUAUGUUUUAUUAAAAAAGAAGGUAGAGCCUUAAAAACUCCUUUUUGGGUUUCCAAUAUGAACUCUAAAUCUUUUUCGAAGAAAUCUUCAGCUUUUUAAAGAGAAAUUAAAACCUUCAAAAUAUCACAGUCGGUAGAUGUAAAAAUUAAUCAGUUUUUCAAUUAUCUGAGACCUCUGUCCCCAUACAGCGAGCUCUGCACAGUGCGGUCUCCAAGGGUGACGGAGAUGCCAUCUAUGUAUUUGCAGCAGAUAUUUUUUUUUUUUUAAACCAGCACCAAACAUAUGUUUGAAUUUCUCAAUAAAUUUGUUCGCUUUCCCUUCCUGACCCUUUUGGGUUUGCUCUCUGUGGCUGUUCUAGCAAACAUGUACACUGGCAGGAAUGAUGCUGAAGCAGCACGUUUUAAUGCAAACUGUGCCGGCUUAUUCGUAGGAAGUGAUUUUCAAAUUCAUAAUCAUGAAUAUUUGCACUGCAAGGUUGAUUCUGCUGCGAGCUUUUUAUUUAUAAGCUCAGAAGCGCUGCCUGUUGGUGCCAGGCUGCGAGAGCGUCGUGCCUCCGUGGCGGGGAGCGAGCCGGGCCGUGGACGCUGCGUGUCCUAUCCAAACAGCUCCCAUUUCUGACUGCGAACAGGGAGAUCGCAUCGGCAGCAGGCAAUUUGCCGGGGAUACGUAUCCUGAAAUAUUUGCUGCAUAAUUUCUAGCAAUGAGCAAUUUCAUGGAGACUAUGAUCUGCUUGUGAAGAGAAAUAAGGUGUAAAUUGGAUGAAUAAAUUGUUCUCUGCAGAUGGCUUGCUCGCUCUGGAGGACCACUCUCCUCUCGGAGAAGCGCUGCUGGUGUCCGCGGUCCUCUGGGUCUCUUGACCCCGCGUGGAAACUGGUGCUGGGGAGGGACGUCUCAAACUCCGUGAACUUGGGCGCUCACCCAAGAGCCCCUCUGGGGCAGUGUGACCCCCCGGGACCUGCACCCCCGGGGAGGAGGUAGCCACGCUGAGCAGGGCUGCGGACGUUGCCGUGGUCAAUCAGAGGGUCCAUCAGCCGCUGGGAAAACUGCUCUGUUUUAUCCUGGGCAGCCCGGGAGCCACAGGGAUACGUGCGAACGGGGAUGGGUGGUGCUGGGCGUCUUCCCUGCCCCUGGGGGGUGCGGGGGGGCUGGUGUUGGAGCCUGCGAGCUCUCCCCCGGCGUCUUGGCUAACGGGCUUCGCUGCCUGCCUUUCUCCGUCCCCUUUGGGUUGGCGUUGCUUCCUUUCGGCGUUACAGGAUGAGCCUUGCUCUCUGCGGAUGUAGGGGCUUCCCCGGGGAGGAGGAAUCCCGGGCGCCUGGGGCUGUGCCACCAGCCUCCCCUCCACCGCCCCGGGACGGGGAUGCUCCGAUGCCGCCGUGCUGGUGUAGCACCAGCUGCAGGGAAUUAGAGGAGCCUUGGGGCUAUUCUGGGAAACACCAAGGGAGAUUCCCGAGGUUUCCGGAGCAGAGAGCUGGCUCGGAGCUGCCUGCCUCCAUGCCGGGCAGGGCUGAUGUGGAGCUGGGCACCGAGCCCCGCCAAGAGAAGGAUCCCGCCGGCAAAACAGCAGGAUCCCACGGAAGCGACAUGGCGUCGGGGACCGCUGAGACGAGCCGUGGUGGGUCUGGCCCCGGUGCUGGUGGGCCGCGGGGUCCAGCCAGGAUGGCCGGGACGUCCCUGGCAUGGCCCAGCGGCUGAUUCAGGAUGGGGUGUAGGAUGUCGCCUGCCCGUCGCCUGGGCCAGAGAAGAUCCCGCUGCUGCAUCGCCUCCGGGGGUUUCAACGGCACUAAAGGUAAAACCUUGCCCCAUUCACCAUGGCUUGUGGGAACUGUAGCCCUCGGGACUUUUCCGUCUCCGUUUCUGGCUCUCGGCUGCAGAGAGGUGCCUGGCUUUAAAAAAAUACCCAUUUGUCUUGUGAACAGGGACACGGCGCUGAGCAGAUGAGAGCCCGAUUGCUCAUCCCCUGUGCCAGUCCCAUGGAGCAAAACCCUUCCAGGAGCGGGUCUAAAAUCCACGUGUUGUGGAACGGUGGUGGCUGCACUGGGGCUCCCACACGAGGACGUCCGGGUGUGGAAAACGCCGGGCCCCGCUCUCUCCUCAGCAGCGUCAGGCCUGACGGAGUUGUGCUUCGUUUGUUCCACGUGAAGGUUCGGUCGGCUUUUGUCCCUGAAACCGCCUUCCCGUUGGGUCCUGGUGACGGCGGAGGCUGCGGCGUGGUGGCAGCUGCGUUACUCGGGCAAGUGUCUCGGGAGCGGCACGUCCUGGGGGACAGCGGUGGCUUCGUCCCGGGGGACAGCCCCGGGCCUGUCCUCCGUGGGCCAAACACCGACUUCUCUGACCGAGCGGCCUUUCCCCGCUUUAUCAAUAAUUUUAAUCGUUUUAAUAACGUCCCCUCGCAUGGAUAGGAUUACGAUUAGAAAAUGUCAGAGCCUUGUUAUCAUCUAAUUAGAGUCACAUUUCAGCGGAACAGAAAGGCAAAUCUUCAAGCGCCGCCGUGUGCAGUGAAAUGGGAAGAAAGUGAUGAUUUAAACCAGCUGGGGGCCGGGUCCCGCCUGCGACGCGGGGCACGGCGCGGGACCCGGCGAUGGUCCCCGGCCGCAGCCCUCCAGGCAAUCAGCGCGAACCGCUCCCAGGUCUCCUCUGCGGAGCGAAAAGCUCCGCCGCCGUCCAGGAAAAACAAUCAGGCUGUCAAGUUUGCCGUCUAACAGCUGAGGGGGUCAGAGCAGCAACACAACACAAACCAAAAUAAACACCACCUCGCUCUGCCAAAAAGCCUUUAUCACUCUUCUGGGAGAGAGGGAGGCGCUUUCAGAUGGCUUUAACUUUUUCCAUUUUUUUUGUUGUUUGUUUUUGUACGCUUAAAUGUGAGCGGGGAGCUGGGCUCUCUUCCCGCCCUCCUCCUGAUGCCAUGGCGGCAGGCGGAGGUGCCGGGGCUUUGUCCUGGGGAGAGCCUCUUUGUUUGCCUCUGGCGAGGAGGAGGUCGGCAGGCAGCGGGCGUGCGGCCCCUCAGCCCCUUGGGAGCUGCCGGGGGGGUUUGCUGUGCCUGAGCUCGUCCCCUGGCCUUCUCAGCACGUCCCAGAGCGCGUCCCCUCUGGGGAGGGGGAUGCAUGGCCGUGGCAGGGGCCAGGGCUCUGCCCCGAUGCCGGAGCAUCCGUGUCUGCGUGGGAUUUGCCUGGUGGAGGGGGGGCUCGGCUGCACCGAGUUAAUGACCCCGUGCGGCGGCAGCGCACCAGCGACGCUGCAAAAUGUUGUUCUGUGUACGAAUAAGGUUUCGCAAGCGCUGCGGCUGCUUGGUAGCCCGGCCGGCCGCAGGGAGGACUGCGCAGACACCGCGCGGAGCCCCGCCGGGAUGCUGCCGCCAGCCCGCCCGAGGAGGGGACGCCUGGCAGGGAAGCGGGGUGGCCGCCGGGGAGCCCUAAAACCUGGACCCACUGCAGCUGCGAGCCCGAGCCCCGUGGGACGAGCGGAGCUGCCUGCGCUUGGCCACAGGGUGCGGGGAGAAAGGUGGAGCAUUUCCCUCAAAAGCAGCUCCUGGCUGUGCAUCACCCACCCCGCACGGGCCGAAAAGCAGCAGCGUUUUGGUGUUUUGCUGGGGAAAGCAGCACCUUGGUUCCCCCACGGAUUUAGCAACCUCAACCCCUCUAAGAGCCUGGGCUUAAGCAUCCUCCCUGGGGCCAAAACGUCCCCCCCAGUGAUUCUUUGCCUCGGGGACCCCGUGGAAGGAGCAGGAGGACCGUGGCCACCUGCUUUCGUGGUGCUCAUCUGAGGCUCGCCAGCACCACGCCAGCGUUUCACGCCGGGAACACCUGCUGUGCCGAGGGGGCCAGACCCCGGCACCGACCAGCCCCACGUAAUAAAUAACAACAGUAAAAAUAGUUAUCGCCUAAAUAGCGCUUUACGUCCCCGGGAUGCUGUAAAACCCCGACUGCUUAAUCACAAGCCUCUCUCUUGAUGUUUACAGGGAACUGAGAUUUUUGCUCUCGGAGGAGAAUGUAUUUUCUGGUGCCAAGAGCUACAUGCGGCCGGAGCGGGAUGCGGGCACGGCGGAGGCAGGUGUGGCUCAGGUGUCCCAUCGGACAGUCCGAGGGUCUCGACGGCGGCCGGGGGCUGUUCCGGAGCCAACACCGGCCCUGCCUUCCCCGCGCCGCCGCUUUGCAGCCGCCUCCGAAACCCCUGACAUUUGGGGACUUGCUAUAUUUGAACAGGCGGAUGGUUCAGCCGCGGCCGGCAACGUGGCAGUGAUGGCUAUUGAGAGUGGCACCAGGCGGCCCCCGCCGCGCCGGGGGCCAGGGGUGGCAUUUCUGCCAGGCAGAGCUCCCCCCUUCCCAAUUAGGGACGCUGCUAAUUUUAAACGAGCUGCCGCCACCAAGUAGCAGCACUUGAAAAUCUCAUCCAGCCAAAGUGCCUGCGGAGAGAGCCGGGGGUCGAGGGGAAGGGGGAGAGCCCCGAGGGCGGCUCCCCCUGCGAGCCGGGACGGGCACAGCUGGGGCAGAGGAUUUUCUGCGGGUCAGUGUUUCCCAGAGCUUGGGGAAGGAGAGGGGUUUUUUCUUUAAUCAAAAUGAAAACCAUCUCUGAUUUCAUUCUAAAGCAUGCUAAAAGGUUUUAUUCGGCCUGAUGCAAAGCGUUGCAUUUCAUUUUGCGUUUUAAUUAAUUUUGUGAUCCUUUAAUUAGGCUGAUUUCAAAGAAAAAAUGUUUCUCUCAAAAAUGGAAGUCAAAACAUUUUGAAGAUCAUCUCUCUGCCUCUGAAACGCUGCUUAAAAGCAUUAGACGCUCUGCUCUCUUUCUAGAAACGCUGGUUGAUUCCUGCCUUGACAGAGUUCCCAAACGCUUUGGGAGUUCAACCGAAGCAGUGCUUUGAAAAGGGCCCGUGUUCCUCAGGAAGGGAGCUCUGCAGCCCGGCAUCCCGGGACGGAAGGGGCGAGGGUCUCAGCUCAGACCUUCCCUGCUCCCGAAAAAGCCCAGGGCCCUGGUAGGUACGGAGGGAGCCGGAGCCCGUCGCCGGACGAGGCCCCCCACGACUUUCCUCCGUUGGGGAAACUCCAGCGAUGGCAAAAUCUCACACUGCCUGAGUCACCGCGCGGUCAGAGGACACAGCGCGGGACCCGGGAUGGAGCCUCUGGAGGUAUUUCCUACCGAAAAGGCUUUUUUCCCCCCCUGCGUUGCUCAGCUGCGGCAGUGGGCUACGAGUUGAGGAGUCGUCCACGCGGGGAGCCCUGGGCUCGGUAGCCAAAGGGCUGAGCCUCGGCCAGCUCCAGCUUCAGGCCCCGUUGGCGCUGCAGGUGUCCAAGGUCAUCUGACAGUUCCUCAGAUGCGAGUUUUGCUUUGACGCAUCGCCUUUUCCAGUCAAUUAACAAAACAGAAUCACAGACUUUAAAAUCCAUAUAUGUUUACAUAGUGCUGUGGCCAGUAAAUCCCACUCUGAGGUCCCAUGGGUUUCCCAGAGCUUGAUGCAUUUCUAUGUGUAGAAGCAAAAAAACCUAAUUACUAGAGAAAAGUGUUAAAAAUCUGGAUGGACUGCUACAGCUGCACCACGGGCGCAGGGGACAGAUGCGCGGCUGCUGCUCUCGUGCUGUCCCUCGGCACACAAGCGUCGCCGAUACCGGUAUGAAGGAGACCUUCAGACCCCACCGAGCCCCCAGUGAGGAGAGACCACCCGUCUGCUGGCCCCCGGCAGAGCUCAGGCACUGCAGGACUUCACCAGAGAGCCGCUGCCCUGCACAGGUAGGUCUGUGUUUGUCACCCGGGGGUACUGCUCCCUGCUCCGCCGAGGCAGCUCCAGCCCCCUCAGGCUGUUCCUGGAGCUUUUGGCGGGUCUCAUCUUCUUGGGCUCCAGGGACCGGUGGCACCCGCCUGCCUGAUGCCCACGUAGGGCGAACGGGCUCACGCAGGCACCGCCAGAUGCAACCUCCAACCCCACCGUACCCAUAGCUCCCAUGUCAAAAACUGCAGGUGAUGGGAGGAGGGUGGCGGGCAGAAGGCCACCUUGCUGAUGCUGAACCCAUGAGACGAAGGGAGAUUUCAGGAAACUAUAAAAUUAUUGGGGAGUUUAGCGGCACCCUCACCCCCGGAGGAGGUUAUCACAGGGCUGGCACGGUCGGCUGUCGCUUUAUCCAGAUCCCUUGUUGGUGUUUGUCAUAGAAUCGUUUAGGUUGGAAAAGACCUGUAAGAUCAUCAAGUCUAACCGUUCGGUGUGUGUGAAGUUCAGCUUAUCAUUGGAUUGCCGGGUAUCGAUCCAACUUUGCGUUGGGCAAAAAGUCUUGCUGGGACACUGGGAAGUGGGCGAUGGAGGAGCUGGUCGCUGUCAUUUGUUGCUUUUCGUGUGUGACGUUGAGAGAAGAGGUACCAGACGCACCAACCGCUUUCGGGAAGGUUUAGGGUCCGUCGGCAGGACGGAGGGCUGCGUUGGCAGGGGGUGGCUGCGUUGGCGGGGGUAGCUGCGGUGUGCAGCGUGUCGGGGCGCGUAGAUGGACCCAACACACACGACAUGGAGUUUUAGCGACCGUGUGGCGCUGGGUGUGCUCAGCCGGUGGGAGCCUGUGUCCGUCCCGCUGUCCCACUGACCUGCUCCGAGCCAGCCCCCGGGGCUUGUCGCGCGUUCCUGUGCCCGGCUGUGUUUUCUCUGCUCAGAUGAUUAAAAGUCAGGGCUCAGAGGCUGGCAGAACAAAACGCUUUCCUUGAGAUGGCAUUUGCAUUUGAAAGGCAGGAUGGCUGUUCCAGGGACUUCGCUCCUUUGCGAACUUCUCCUGUAGAGUCUCCCGGCUCCCUGCUCGCGGAGCUUAAUUCGGGGCUCCACGCUCUGAUCCCAGCAACCCGCCGCUGGCUGGAGGCCAGCCUUAAUUGUCCUGCCGUGGGGUGGCUGGGAGAGCCCGUCAAGCUGCGCAGGAAUUACAGGGCUCGGAGGAGGGCUGUGAUUUCUGUCCUGCUGCCCCCAGUUCCUGGGAACUCUCCUGGCAGUCAGCGCGCGAUAUGACUCACGCCGGAGGAAGCCAGACCCGCUCGCGCCCGGCGUGCUAUUUCGAUUAAUGGUCAAGAUGCCACAGAGACAGUUUCUAAGUAAAUAACUUGCUUCUUGACGCAGCCUCCCGUCAGCCUCCCAGCCACUGCCCCAGAUGGCUGGAGUGUCCGAGGCGGCCCCUGGGUCGGGAAAGGAAGCGCCGAGUCGCAUGAAUAAUAGAAACGCUGCGGCUGCGGCGUGGUCUGGUGGAGAGAGACCUCCGGGUUGGGGCUGAGGAACGGCUGGGCAGCGGCAAUGUCCCCUCCCGGCACGCGGGUCCAU
Chroicocephalus ridibundus (black-headed gull) is the source of this 11530-nucleotide RNA transcript. RefSeq lists it as uncharacterized. The transcript is spliced from 2 exons. The record is from RefSeq and is a predicted model, not a curated record. Lineage: Eukaryota; Metazoa; Chordata; Aves; Charadriiformes; Laridae.